This is a long non-coding RNA of Armigeres subalbatus, 2332 nucleotides long. RefSeq lists it as uncharacterized. Lineage: Eukaryota; Metazoa; Arthropoda; Insecta; Diptera; Culicidae. The record is from RefSeq and is a predicted model, not a curated record. The transcript is spliced from 3 exons.
CGAAUUGCUUUCGACGCUGCAAGGUGUCUUAGCAACAAUUCAUUUUGUUUAUUUAUUUACUGAAAAGCAGAAAAAGCGGUUGCAUUUGCUAUUAGCUUCGAUUUUAAAAAAUUCUAAUAAUAUUUCAUUUCCAGGACAUUUUCCAAUAUCUAUUCAGAAGCGGAGGCUUUGAACGAGUUUUACCAACUAAUUGAUGCAUUUAUGUGGAUGACCGUCUAAUCUGACCAGAAAUGUGGAUUUAAAAUGUUUUCGACACUGGACUUUGAUAUCUAGGCUUCCCAUGUCCAACUUUACUGCAUUCUCAAUCCGUUUGUCAGGCAAUCCGUUUGACCAAGGCUUAUGAAAGUAUCGGCAUAUGAUUCCUGUCUAAUGAGCAAUAACACAUUCCAGAAGCUGAAUUUCAAAAUAUGUUGUAUGGUGGACUUCUAGUGCGAAGGUUUUUCUAUACAACUUUGCCUAAUGGUUCGUUAUUAGAAUUCAACUAAUAACGGAGUUAGAGCAUUGACGAAUACAUAGACGGAGGGGUGGCCAUUUUUUCGGGCACCACUAUAUACCCCUGGGGAGUGACGGAUUACAAUUAUUACAAUCACUCGACCAUUGAGAAGCCCCUCAAUUCUAAUCACGUCAGUUUGACAUCAGUUGUCAUUUCCAUGGACUGUCGUUUUCGUUUGCGUGUUUUUGAUGGCAAAAAAUUGGGGAAGUUUUUUCAUUUUCAGUAUGUUUUUGUUGCAGAAUUGUCGGAUGACCGUAAAAUGUGAUCGAUAUAUAUACCGUUGAACGAGGAACGUCUACCGAACCUUCUGAUGACGAAUCAUCCGGUUCGCACUUCCACUGCAGAAUCACACAGUCAAGAAGUUGUGGUGCUUCACUGGGAAAUCCUGCCGAAGACUUUACCAUAUGGUGUUUGGCUGCAGGAGAUGAUUGCAAGCAAGCCGGAAACUCCUGGAAUUUAUGAUCCCAGCUAUUCGAGCUUUUCUUAAACACCACCAUUCGUAUGUUAGAAGGAAUACCGUGCUCUAUCUACAAAUACUUCGGGUAGGACCUACCACCCAGACGAGCCGUAAUUGAUUGCAAACUUUUUGGGUACGGAGCAGAAUGUGUUUUAUUUCGCUUGCAUUAAUGCAUUUCAAUGUUACACGCCGAUCAGAAAAAAACAUUGAUCUAUUUAUCUUCAUGUCUUGAUGGUUUGUACUUUAGAAGAAUGCUUCCAAGACUCACAAUGGCAAUGGAGGCAACGGAAAGUAUCCUUAACUCCUGGUCGGAACUCUUCCCUGUUGUUACAUCAAAUUUCACUGCAACUGUAAUAUCUAGAAACUCAGAAGUUUUCCCAGCUGCCAAUUCUCUAAAAAUUCAACGAGCAGCACUCUGGAUCCAUGAAGAGUACACAACAUCGUCGAGGGAUAUCAUGGAUGCGAUUGUCGUCUAACCCUGGAUGGUACCUCGAAAUACUCAUUGUCGAUGCCGAGCGGAGGCGACUGGCCGGCAAUGAAAAGGGGAAUAAAAGAGGGCCUGGCGCUUCGAAACAACAAAGUCACGUCGGAUGGAACGUAGCAGAGCGCUUUCAGUAUUGCUCCGUAAGUACCCUGGACGCUGAAAGUUUCGCCGACGACAACAAGAAGCUGAAGGAACAUGUCGAUGCAUGAAUGGAAUUGAAAAUGUAUGUUUAAAGUCUCAAGAACCUGCUCGAAGACUAGGAAUUACUGGGUGACCGUCAAUAUGAUCGGUGAUGCUAAUACGGAGGGAGCCAUCGACGAGAAGAUCAAAUGGCUUGAAGAAAACCAGGAUGCCGACUCCGAAGACUGUAAGAAGCAGAAGAAGGAACUUGAAGACGUUUUGCAACCCAUAAUAUCCAAGCUCUAUGCCACCACUGGCGGCUCUCCUCAACCUACUGGCGAUGACGAGGAUCUCAAGGAUGAGCAGUAAAACUCGUGUUUGUUAUAGCACUAUUUAUAGUGUAGCAUAAUUUCCAUUUUUCCGUUUCCUGAUCGGUAUAGGUAAUUUUCAUCACUCGAUCUAAACUGGUAAGAGCCAGUUGAAAGACUUAGUUGAUCACUAACUGUUCAGACCAAUAGAACAGGAAAAGAGUUUAUUAGAGUGUGUUUACGAGCGAGAGAAUACGAGAUCGAGUGUUUAAAGUACUGUGCGGAUCAGGCAGUCUCAUUCCAUUUUUCAGAUGAAUACAAAAGGAAAUAAAAUCAAAUGGCAAAACAGUUUUUUCGCACUUGUAGACAAGUUUGAUGGCUGAUGCUAUAAUAGGUUUUAAUAAUUCGAAAAAGUUUUUGCCUCUCUUUUAUCUUUGUUCGUUAUCUAAUAAUAGUGAUUUCUGCAAACC